This 73-nucleotide transfer RNA is filed under the name Caudoviricetes sp. RNAcentral's name for it is "tRNA-Cys". It matches the Rfam family "tRNA". From Rfam's summary of the family: Transfer RNA (tRNA) molecules are approximately 80 nucleotides in length. Their secondary structure includes four short double-helical elements and three loops (D, anti-codon, and T loops). Lineage: Duplodnaviria; Heunggongvirae; Uroviricota; Caudoviricetes. The record is from RNAcentral.
GAUUUCGUAGCCAAGUUGGUUAAGGCAUCGGACUGCAACUCCGAGGACGUGAGUUCGACUCUCACCGAAAUCU